GCUCUACAUAAGAACACCAGCCAAAUUACAAAAAUAUAUAUUGCUCAAAGAAGAAUUAAGAACACACACACAUUUGUUUUUCUAUCCAUGUGGGUAACUAGGACCUGCAUAUACAUGGACUUAGAUCACAGACACAUUUACUUAAGCAUCGAAAUGGGGACAACAAAGUUGAUUGCCCUUACAAAUUGCUACUUUCACUAAUAUUAACACUAAACUUUAACCUUGAUAACUUACAUAACAAGUAAUGCCUCAUCCCAACCCCUAUUUUAUGUUGUGCCCUGAACCAAACACUAAAGACAGGCACAGUAUCCCCAUUACUCAAAUUUUUCUGAUUUAACCAGUUUUGGGACAUCCUAAAUGGUUUCCUGCAACGCUCUGUCCUGCGCUAUAGGCCUACACGAGAUAACUUCCUCUGACAAUCAGCCUGUAACUAUUUGCUACUAGCUACAGCGUCUCUCCGCGGCAUUUGUGCGAUAUACUGGAUUGGUUUAUCUUAAUACCUCAGAUCAUUCGAGAUUUAACAUUCGACAUUUCACGUGACCUGGUUUUAUUAAUCUUCAUCCUCUUCAGCAAAGCCAUCGUUCAUCCAUAUUCUUAGGUCGUGCAAAAAUAACACUUUGACAUUAGUCCUCAGUGGAAUAGCUAGGCUACUAAAAAAAAAAAAACCAUAGCUGCACUGUGGCGGUUAAUUGUUAAAGUCGUUCACGAACGCACACCGUUUUCAGAAGACUUAUCGUUACCUGUCUCGUGCCUAGGAUGAACGUGUGGUGCGCGCGUUCCCGUCAGGAAAAAAAAACGCUUGGGUAGCAGGACUGAGCCCCACACAGCGAAGCUGCGCUCCUCUGGAGAAAUCAAAACAGCUGUCUAGCAGCUAAGACAAGGAACAAUGCGGAUACCGAGAUAAUGCUAAUGUUAUGCCUUGUUCUGGGGUCAAAGUGCCGAGGGAAGUACUUUGGCAUUGUUUAUCCUCCUGUGGCACAUUUCCCACUGCUGUCCAAGUAGUCGUGGGUUGUUCACUAUUUGUUUUUGUCCAACCGAGGAGUGAGGAUUACUGACCGAGUCUCGAGUUCUCUGAAGCGAUUUUCUUUGUAGGUCGGGAAAAUACUUUUUGUAAGCAGGAAUGGCCACGGCACGGUUAGACUAUGUCGCUCCGUGGUGGACGUAUUGGAUGCACAAUUUCCCUCACUUCAACUUGAGCUUCCAGCCUGUUGAAAACACCUUCAGACCGGAGGAAGCGAACUACCAGCAGUCUCUGGUGUUCCUAGCGUGUAUGGCCGCGGCCGGGCUAGCCCUCAGCGUCCUGCUGCUCUCCACCUACCUGACCUGCCUGUGCUGCUGUAGGAGGGAGGAGGAAGGGGAGACCAAAAGGCCGGACUCCUGCUGUGUCUCCUGGACCGCCGUGGUCAGUGGACUCGUCAUAUGCUCUGCCGUCGGAGUGGGUUUCUAUGGCAACAGCGAGACCAACGACGGCGUGUACCAGCUGACUUACUCCCUCCACAACGCCAACCAUACGCUGGGUGGCAUCAACAACCUGGUGAGCUCCUCCCUGGACAGCAUUGAGGUGGUUCUGCAGCAACACCUGAACCGCCUGGACGAGAUAUUUGCUAAGCGGGGAGACUACAUCCAGUCCCUCAGGUUCAUGGGCCAGAUGGCUGACAACAUCAUCAGGCAGCUGAGCGCUGUACCGGACCUUGGCAAGGCCAAUGUGGACCUGUCGUACAUGGCGGACCAGGCGGCCUACGUGGAGUAUUACAGGUGGCUGACCUACCUGCUGCUGCUGAUCCUGGACCUGGUCAUAUGUCUCGUGGCCUGUCUGGGUGUGGCUAAGCAGUCCAAGUGGCUGCUCAUCACCAUCAUGGUGUUUGGAGUGAUAUCUUUGGUCCUAAGCUGGGCCUCGCUGGGAGCCGACACCGCUGCAGGCGUGGGUACCAGUGACUUCUGUGUCUCUCCAGACAAGUUCAUAGUUAACAGGACCAAGAGUUUCCUCAGUGCCGAAGUGUCACACUACUAUCUAUACUGCAGUCCGAGCCUUCCCAACCCCUUCCAACAGUCUCUGACCAUCUUCCAGAGGUCCCUGACCACCAUGCAGAUCCAGACCCAGGGACUGCUCCAGUACUCCGUGCCCCUGUUCCCCACUGCUGAGAGAGACCUCCUGGGAAUCCAGCGGCUGCUGAACUCCACAGAGUUCAACCUGCACCAGCUGACAGCCCUGCUGGACUGCAGAAGCCUGCACAAGGAUUACUUCGACGCCCUGAUGGGGGUGUGCUACGACGGCGUGGAGGGGCUGCUCUACCUCGGCCUGUUCUCUCUGCUGUCCGUCUGCGCCUUCUGCGCCCUGCUGUGCACUGUACCCCGGGCCUGGACCGUCAUGGCCAGCAGGGAAAGAGACUACGACGACAUAGACGAGGAAGACCCCUUCAACCCCCAGUCCCGUCGGGUGGCCUACAACCCCAGCAGGGCCAGCCACGUCCACAGCUUCUGUAGCUACACCAGCAGCCUGGGCAGCCAGACCAGCCUGCACCCUCCGCCUCAGGUCGCCUCCAACCUCCCCACCUCCGAGUACAUGAACCAGUCCAUGCUGUUCGGAGGGAACCCUCGCUAUGAGAACGUGCCUCUGAUCGGGGGGGGGUCCCCUCCACCCAUGACAUUUAGAAACAGUAAGUUGGACUCACACCACCUUACUGUACCUUUAGACUUUCCUGUGCUUGUUUGUUACAAAUAAUAUUCCUUUGUUGUUUCACCAUUCAUCACCCAGUUAUUAAGACGUGGUUUUAAGGCUUACUUCUAAAUCUAGAAGUAGUUCUUCAUUUUAAUUAUUAUCCUUGUAACCAGCCACCUCCGGAGUCUGACAAUUAUUAACAAAUCAGCUUGUUUGGUCCGGACCCCGUUGUGACCUCUCUAAGCUGUAUGACCUCUAACCUCAGCUGUAUGAACUCUGACCUCCAGCGAUGUGGUGUCCUCAGAGUGUAAAUCUUAUUCUCCCAGCAUGAAGACCACCUACCAAUCUAUGACUGAUGCCCAGAUGAGACAGUUUGGGGCGGGCUUGCAGCAGGUGUAGCCCCUGACCAUCACCUGCUACUCCCCCAAGAAGGGUGACCACGGUGGGAUUGACUGCAGUGAAGAGGUUGUGUUUGCAGGCACACCCCACCAUUGAUUCACCUUGCACACUUGUGACUUAAAUGCGGGAGUCCUGGUAUAAAGCCGAAGAUGAACCAAAAACUCUAUGAAAAUAUCUAAAUGUUUUCAAUUAUUAAGGACCUGGUUGAAAAGGUCGCUUUUCUCUGUGAGCAACUUCACCUCCCAUUGUUUUCGGCAGGCAACAAACGACCAGAUUGAUUGAUUGGGUCUGCCGACUGAAACGACUGAAGACAUGAAAUGAAAUUAUGUUGAUUGGUGUUGACAUGCUCUCGGUUGACCUGUCUUCACUCUUGCAAACAGUCAUCUAGCCCAAAAAUAUAAGGCUGGCAGGAAACAGUGGUUACUGUAGGCUCCAAACUCAUUCACCUGAUGGACAUGGUAUUGUCUUGUUUAUUUUAAAUGUCAUUGUUCUCAGUGAAUGGCAAAUAUCAUGGUCUUUUGAAUUUGGACUGGAAAAUUAAAGAACCCCUUAAUGUGAUUAUGUCUAUAUAUAAAUAUAGAU
This is an RNA transcript of Esox lucius (northern pike), 3640 nucleotides long. It is a transcript of the gene named tweety homolog 2, like, with no coding region annotated. NCBI's taxonomy places the organism in Eukaryota, Metazoa, Chordata, Actinopteri, Esociformes, Esocidae. The record is from RefSeq and is a predicted model, not a curated record. The transcript has 15 exons.